This 253-nucleotide ribosomal RNA is filed under the name uncultured bacterium. Its description in RNAcentral is "partial 16S ribosomal RNA". It matches the Rfam family "Bacterial small subunit ribosomal RNA", at positions 524 to 776 of the family's 1533-position model. The record is from RNAcentral.
UACAGAGGGUGCAAACGUUGCUCGGAAUUAUUGGGCGUAAAGCGCACGUAGGCGGCCAUGUAAGUCAGGAGUGAAAGCCCUCGGCUUAACCGGGGAAGUGCUUUUGAAACUGCAUGGCUUGAAUACUGAAGAGGGUCGCGGAAUUCCCGGUGUAGAGGUGAAAUUCGUAGAUAUCGGGAGGAACACCGGUGGCGAAGGCGGCAUCCUGGACCAUUACUGACACUGAAAAGCGAAAGCCAGGGGAGCAAACGGG